UACGUAGGUGGCGAGCGUUGUCCGGAAUUACUGGGCGUAAAGCGCGCGUAGGCGGGAAUUUAAGUCAGGAGUGUAAACUGUGGGCUUAACCGACAGCUUGCUUCUGAAACUGGAUUUCUUGAGGGUAUGAGAGGGAAGCGGAAUUCCUAGUGUAGCGGUGAAAUGCGUAGAUAUUAGGAGGAACACCAGUGGCGAAGGCGGCUUCCUGGCAUACAACUGACGCUGAGGUGCGAAAGCGUGGGGAGCGAACGGGAUUAGAUACCCCGGUAGUCCACGCCGUAAACGAUGGGCACUAGGUGUAGGAGGUAUCGACCCCUUCUGUGCCGUAGUUAACACAAUAAGUGCCCCGCCUGGGGAGUACGGCCGCAAGGCUGAA
RNAcentral lists this ribosomal RNA (376 nucleotides) under uncultured bacterium. Its description in RNAcentral is "bacterial SSU rRNA". It matches the Rfam family "Bacterial small subunit ribosomal RNA", at positions 524 to 898 of the family's 1533-position model. The record is from RNAcentral.